Molecule: transfer RNA, 57 nt
Filed under: Bulinus globosus
Lineage: Eukaryota; Metazoa; Mollusca; Gastropoda; Planorbidae
Description: tRNA-Ser
Source: RNAcentral
UUUUUGUAUUAUAAAGGAUUUUGAAAAUCUUUUUAGAAAACUAAUUUUCACAAAAAA